CGGUUGAUCCUGCCGGAGGGUCACUGCUAUCAGAGUUCGAUUAAGCCAUGCUAGUCGCGAGGGUUCGGCCCUCGGCGUCCGGCUCAGUAACAUGUAGUCAAUCUACCCUAAAGUGGGGAAUAACCUCGGGAAACUGAGGAUAAUGCCCCAUAGGUCUAGAGUCCUGGAAUGGACCUUGGCCCAAAGCUUCGGCGCUUUAGGAUGAGACUGCAUCCUAUCAAGCUGUUGGUGGGGUAACGGCCCACCAAACUAGUGACGGGUAUGGGUCUUGGGAGAGAUAGCCCAGAGUUGGGGACUGAGACAAGGCCCCAGGCCCUACGGGGUGCAGCAGGUGCGAAACCUCCACAAUCCUCGAAAGAGGGAUGGGGGAACUCUGAGUGCUUAUCCUUUGGGUAAGCUUUUCUGAAGUCCAAAAAGCUUCGGGAAUAAGGGCUGGGCAAGAUCGGUGCCAGCAGCCGCGGUAAUCCCGGCGGCCCAAGUGGUGGCCAUUUUUACUGGGUUUGAAGCGUCCGUAGCUGGACUAGUCCGUCCCUGGUUAAAUCCUCAGGCUUAACCUGAGGGCUGCUGGGGAUACUACUAGUCUUGGGACCGGAAGAGGACAGGGGUACUUCAUGGGUAGGGGUAAAAUCCGUUAAUCCGUGAAGGACCACCGAUAGCGAAGGCACCUGUCUGGUACGGGUCCGACAGUGAGGGACGAGAGCCAGGGGAGCAAAUCGGAUUAGAUACCCGAGUAGUCCUGGCUGUAAACGAUGCGAACUAGGUGCAGCGCACCCUUCGUGGAGUGUGCGGUGCCGCAGGGAAACCAUUAAGUUCGCCACCUGGGGAGUACGUUCGCAAGAAUGAAACUUAAAGGAAUUGGCGGGGGAGCAC
RNAcentral lists this ribosomal RNA (870 nucleotides) under uncultured sediment archaeon. RNAcentral's name for it is "bacterial SSU rRNA". It matches the Rfam family "Archaeal small subunit ribosomal RNA", at positions 5 to 879 of the family's 1478-position model. The record is from RNAcentral.